AGAGACAGCAGUAGCCGCGGGAAAACGGAGGGUGCAAGCGUUAAUCGGAAUUACUGGGCGUAAAGCGCACGCAGGCGGUCUGACAAGUCAGAUGUGAAAUCCCCGGGCUUAACCUGGGAACUGCAUUUGAAACUGUCAGGCUGGAGUCUUGUAGAGGGGGGUGGAAUUCCAGGUGUAGCGGUGAAAUGCGUAGAGAUCUGGAGGAAUACCGGUGGCGAAGGCGGCCCCCUGGACAAAGACUGACGCUCAGGUGCGAAAGCGUGGGGAGCAAACAGGAUUAGAUACCCCUGUAGUCCCUGUCUCUUAUAC
This 309-nucleotide ribosomal RNA is filed under the name uncultured bacterium. RNAcentral's name for it is "partial 16S ribosomal RNA". It matches the Rfam family "Bacterial small subunit ribosomal RNA", at positions 504 to 807 of the family's 1533-position model. The record is from RNAcentral.